GUCCCUAGUUCGGAUUGUAGGCUGAAACUCGCCUACAUGAAGCUGGAAUUGCUAGUAAUCACAGGUCAGCAUACUGUGGUGAAUACGUUCCCGGGCCUUGUACACACCGCCCGUCACACCAUGAGAGUUGAGAAUACCCGAAGUCCAUGCUAAAGUGGCCGAAGGUAGGCUUGAUGAUUGGGGUGAAGUCGUAACAAGGUAUC
This 203-nucleotide ribosomal RNA is filed under the name uncultured bacterium. Its description in RNAcentral is "partial 16S ribosomal RNA". It matches the Rfam family "Bacterial small subunit ribosomal RNA", at positions 1284 to 1500 of the family's 1533-position model. The record is from RNAcentral.